RNA transcript from Juglans regia (Persian walnut), 1785 nucleotides. It is a transcript of the gene named beta-glucuronosyltransferase GlcAT14A, with no coding region annotated. The record is from RefSeq and is a predicted model, not a curated record. The transcript has 4 exons. Lineage: Eukaryota; Viridiplantae; Streptophyta; Magnoliopsida; Fagales; Juglandaceae.
ACAAAUGUGAAGUGAAAGCGAAAUCCAUGAACUGAGAAGUAAGAUGUCCAUUGCAAUCAAGUCUCUUUUGUGAUAAAAAUUACUCCCACCGACAAUAUAUUGACAAAUGGAGACCUUUCCUUGGAAGCAAGGAACCCAAAGAUGUAAUCCACAAAAUUUCCAGACUUUUCAUUAUUCCUCCUCCUAAAGUUAAGCAACUCUCCAACAUUAACAUUUUAGCUACAGCCUCCUCCCCAACCUUACUACCCAACUCCUCCUCCCCUCCCAAUUAAUUUCUUCCUCACCCUUCAUCUGUUUCUCUCAGAUUUUUCUCUUCUUUUUUGUUUUUUCUUGACCGACGUUUUCUCAGUAAUGGGUGUCAAAGUUUUCAUGAUAUUUUUCAUGCUAACCAGUACAAUUCUGUUCUCUCUUGUAUACAUUCCAAGAAAAAUAUCCAUACCCAUAUCAAACUUCAGACCGAUUGUGAACUACUUGAACAUACAAAAAUCUAACAAAUCAUAUCCGGCAACCUUUGCCUACCUGAUCUCAGCAUCCAAAGGCGAUUCCGGGAAGCUAAAACGUCUGCUACGCGCACUGUAUCAUCCAGGUAAUUACUAUUUGAUUCACUUGGAUUACGGUGCUCCGGCAACGGAGCAUCGAGAUGUAGCCAAGUUUGUGGCCGGAGACCCAGUUUUCAGUCAAGUGGGAAAUGUCUGGGUUGUGAAGAAACCAAACUUGGUGACGUACAGAGGACCGACUAUGCUUGCCACCACUCUUCAUGCAAUGGCAAUGCUCUUGAGAACCUGCAAAUGGGAUUGGUUCAUAAACCUUAGCGCCUCCGACUAUCCCUUGAUUACUCAAGAUGGUAGGAUCUAAUUCAUGCCUUCUCUGAGUUGCCGAGACAUCUCAAUUUCAUACAGCACAGCAGUCACUUGGGUUGGAAACUGAACAAGAGAGCCAAGCCGAUAAUAAUAGACCCAGCACUGUAUAGACGCAACAAAUCUGAGAUUUGGUGGGUUAUUAAACAAAGGACCAUCCCUACAGCUUUCAAGCUCUAUACAGGUUCAGCUUGGACAAUAGUGUCAAGAUCUUUUGCCGAGUAUUGCAUAAUUGGGUGGGACAAUUUGCCAAGGACUCUCCUACUAUACUAUACCAACUUCGUCUCAACUCCUGAGGGAUACUUCCAGACACUUAUAUGCAACUCUAAAGACUACAAGAACACUACAGUUAACCAUGAUCUCCACUACAUUACCUGGGAUAACCCCCCGAAGCAGCACCCGAGGUCCCUUGGACUAGGAGACUUUAGGAACAUGGUUCUGUGCAACCGCCCUUUUGCCAGGAAGUUUAAGAAAAAUGACAGAGUUCUUGACAAAAUCGAUCGCCAGCUUCUCAAAAGACGCCGCGGACAGUUUGCUUUUGGUGGGUGGUGUUCUGGGAGUAGUACUGGAGAUCAGAAGCGCCACAAUACUUGCUCAGCCUUGCGAAGUGAGAACUAUGGUGUUUUGAGGCCUGGAGCAGGAGCUAGAAGGCUGAAAACUUUGCUCACAAGAAUUGUUUCCGAGAGGAGUUUCCGCAGGCAGCAAUGUAGAUGAUGAUUCUUUCAUGAUCAUAUAUAUGAAUUCUCCUUGUCAUAAUUAAUACAGUUGCUUGAUUUUUUUUUAAAAAUUUUGGGACAUGAGAAAGUUUUCAGAAUUAUGUGUCACAUGCCUGUUAGAUCUCUCAAGUUUAAUUGGUAAUAAACAGGAUUACAACAUACAUGUAUAAAGGUAAAAAUUGAAUUCAGUUGCUCUCUCUUUCUAUUUUUAA